This is a non-coding RNA of Procambarus clarkii (red swamp crayfish), 3015 nucleotides long. Lineage: Eukaryota; Metazoa; Arthropoda; Malacostraca; Decapoda; Cambaridae. The record is from RefSeq and is a predicted model, not a curated record.
AUCAGAAUAGCGGAUACAUACCGGAGGCUCGCGGUGUCCAAUGAAUACCGCCUGAGCGGUUGCAAGCGGGUGACCACAGCCAUUGAUUUGGCUGCGGUCCCGCGCUAACACUAGGGAAGCCUCAGUACCGCCCGUGGUUAGAUUUCUUGCGGUGUGCGUUGCCGCUCGCGUAUAAACUCGCUAUGGAGAGCCUCAUAUCAACGCCUUACACUGGCAACAGUAUCAAUGAUAAACUAUCAGCUGCGGGAAUCCUCGAUACCAAAAUAGAGAACAAUCUUUCAGAAUUAAGAAGAUACGUGCGGGAGAAACUUCGGAGUGGCGUAUAUAAACUCACCACAGACAGGCGUGGAAGAUCUAAAGUAUGGGAACACUUUCGCAUGGUGUUAGACGAUCAGGGCAACUUGGUGGGGUACGCUGGCUGCAUGUAUUGUCUGGAUGUACUGAGACACGACCCCCACAUAUCUGGUACUUCGUCGCUGUUCAGUCACCUUCGGUCGUGUUCUGCGGCUGGCGCUCUGCCCGCUCACAGCAUAGUCGUUCCUGAAGUGCAUGUCAAAGAAGAGGUAUAUGAAGACUCGAGGAAUAACGAGGAAUGGGAUAUAUUCACGCGAACUGCUGACAUUUGUGCUGAAUAUGUUGCCAUUGAUAUGUUGCCAUACCAGUGCCUGAAUGGCCAUGGUUUCAGAAAGCUGGCUCAGUUCCUGGUGGACUGUGGAGCGCUUCAUGGUAAAUUUGAAGUGGAAUCUGUGCUUCCUCCAGCGGCUACGGUGGCGAAGCGUGUGUGUGCUCGGGCGGGGGAAGAGAGGAGGAAGCUUAGGGCAGCUCUUCGCUCUCAUCUGUUACAUGGAGCAGCAGCGGUUGCCCUUCACACAUUCAAAACCCAUGCCUAUUCGUCCAUCAUGGCAUUAACAGUGCAUUAUGUCAAAGACUGGAGUAUUGAGACAGACUUUCUCGGUGUGUGUGAUUUUCAAAAUGAUAUCCAGAGAAGACCGAGAGAAGUAUUACGCUUCGUAGGGAAAUUUGGAUUUGAAACUACACCAGAGAAGUUGACGCUGAUAAUGAGUGCCCAGGAAUCUGUACAUGACAUUUGCAAAGAUGCAACCAUGAUUAAAAGUUUUUCAUGUAUGAUAAAUCAAUCUGUCAAUCAGCUACUUACAAAUGAUAGGCAAUCUACAAAAGACAUUUUUACAAAUUUAGAAAAAUUCAGAGAGAUUAUCCGGCUUGUCAACAAGGAUAACGCAAAGUUGUCAGCACAGUUGGAAGUGGAUAUUACUAACGGUGAGUCUGACUGGAGGAAAACCUUGCAAUUGUCGGAGAGGAUAUGUGACAUGCGCUUCGAACUGCUGAAGGUGACACAGGACAAGAGCUACUAGAUGCUCUAAGCAGCGAGAGCGAGGCACAGAUGCGACACCUUAUUACCAUACUGAAGCCCUUCCAGUCUGCCAUUGAAGACAUGGAGUGCUGCCAGACGCCCACGCUGCACAAGGUGGUUCCCUGGUUCCUACAUCUGCGUAACACAUGCGCACCUGACAGUGGCGACACUGAAGUAUUAGCGGCACUGAAGAAGUCUAUAAAACACUGCCUUGACCAGAAUGAAGAGGUCAAUUUAUUACACAAAAUUGCAGUGUUUUUUAACCCCCGCAUGAACAGCUUAAAGAUACUAUGCCCAGAGGAAAGAGAGUUAGUGCGAAAAGAGGUGAAGCGUUUAGCUCAAAGCCACAUUGACAUCAGCGAACCACCCAAGAAAAGACCUAAACAGGAAAGCAGUCCUCUGGCAUACUUGGAAGAUAAGGACAACGAACAAGACGAUGACAGCACUGCCGAGCGAGAGAUCCUCCUAUACACUAUCAUGAAGGACUAUACCGACUCUGAGGACCUACUGCUGUGGUGGCAUAAGAACUCGAGCAUGCUGCCCCUGCUGGCCGCCGUGGCUCAGAGAGUUCUGGCCGUCCCUGCCUCAGCUACACCCACCUCCCACCUCACCAAGAUCGCUGCCAGGAUGAAAGAUCUGGGGUCGUCGUGGGGCAACGAACACAACAUGGAUGACUUAGUGUUUCUACAUUCACGCCUUUCACAGUCAACAAAUAACUCAGAUGGGUGAAGAUGGCUGCCUGGAGCGUCGUUUGGGGACCCAGCAGUCAGUAGUUCAGGGCGACUACGAUACCUGUGGUGCGAUGGCCCAUGUCUUAAUCACACUACUGCAUCAUUGUCUCACAUACCUUCCCUACUGCUGGGAAAAUACUUAAAAGUGCCAUUAUAUUUGUGAUAAUAGUCGUUUGCUUGUGCAUAAGCAGGUUAGCAAUUCGUUCCCAUGUAUUUGCAAGAUCGUAUGUAACACAGGAAUAUAUACACCGAAAGGUGUAUCUCGUUUCUCCUGUGUAUAUACUAAGUUUAUUUUAAUCGUGGAUUAUGUUCAAGACAGAAUAUUUGCUGAUUGAUUGAUAGAGAUUAAGCCACCCAAGAAGUGGCACGGGCAUGAAUAGCCCGUAAGAAUAUUUGCUGCUUGUUAUUUCCUAUCUCCAAACUCAGCCACGCACGACGGAUGUGCUUAUCAGUAUAUAUACACUUCAGUUACCUACUAUCGUUACCUAUUUUUAGUGAUUAAAGUAUAUGGUAGAUAACAAGGAAGACUGCAACCUUAUUGAUCUUAGCAAUAGCUAGGCUCUCUUGGCCACCAUCUUAGUUUUAGUUCACAUUUACAAGUUUACCUUCGGCUUUCCUUGUCUUACUUAGCACGGCCAAUAAAAAAUUUCUUUAACCGUUAAACAAAUCUCUCAUCAUAUGCCUUCCAUUGUAAAAGCAUAAUCCGUCACUAGAAUUUGCAGUUUAAAAAUUUUUCCGAAUGAGUAAACAAUAUUUAUUGAAUUACUAGACUCCGGGAGAUGCCUAUUGUAAAAAAUAUAUAUUGGAAUUGUUUCACAAAGUCGUUGUGAUUCACAGUUUAUACAGCAUUUGAGAUAUUCAUAGCUUUCAUUUAAUAUUCGUUAUGAGAUAAAAAUAUAUAUAUAUAUAUAU